RNAcentral lists this ribosomal RNA (1271 nucleotides) under Escherichia coli. RNAcentral describes it as "bacterial LSU rRNA". It matches the Rfam family "Bacterial large subunit ribosomal RNA", at positions 1 to 1293 of the family's 2925-position model. Lineage: Bacteria; Pseudomonadati; Pseudomonadota; Gammaproteobacteria; Enterobacterales; Enterobacteriaceae. The record is from RNAcentral.
GGGUUGUGAGGUUAAGCGACUAAGCGUACACGGUGGAUGCCCUGGCAGUCAGAGGCGAUGAAGGACGUGCUAAUCUGCGAUAAGCGUCGGUAAGGUGAUAUGAACCGUUAUAACCGGCGAUUUCCGAAUGGGGAAACCCAGUGUGUUUCGACACACUAUCAUUAACUGAAUCCAUAGGUUAAUGAGGCGAACCGGGGGAACUGAAACAUCUAAGUACCCCGAGGAAAAGAAAUCAACCGAGAUUCCCCCAGUAGCGGCGAGCGAACGGGGAGCAGCCCAGAGCCUGAAUCAGUGUGUGUGUUAGUGGAAGCGUCUGGAAAGGCGCGCGAUACAGGGUGACAGCCCCGUACACAAAAAUGCACAUGCUGUGAGCUCGAUGAGUAGGGCGGGACACGUGGUAUCCUGUCUGAAUAUGGGGGGACCAUCCUCCAAGGCUAAAUACUCCUGACUGACCGAUAGUGAACCAGUACCGUGAGGGAAAGGCGAAAAGAACCCCGGCGAGGGGAGUGAAAAAGAACCUGAAACCGUGUACGUACAAGCAGUGGGAGCACGCUUAGGCGUGUGACUGCGUACCUUUUGUAUAAUGGGUCAGCGACUUAUAUUCUGUAGCAAGGUUAACCGAAUAGGGGAGCCGAAGGGAAACCGAGUCUUAACUGGGCGUUAAGUUGCAGGGUAUAGACCCGAAACCCGGUGAUCUAGCCAUGGGCAGGUUGAAGGUUGGGUAACACUAACUGGAGGACCGAACCGACUAAUGUUGAAAAAUUAGCGGAUGACUUGUGGCUGGGGGUGAAAGGCCAAUCAAACCGGGAGAUAGCUGGUUCUCCCCGAAAGCUAUUUAGGUAGCGCCUCGUGAACUCAUCUCCGGGGGUAGAGCACUGUUUCGGCAAGGGGGUCAUCCCGACUUACCAACCCGAUGCAAACUGCGAAUACCGGAGAAUGUUAUCACGGGAGACACACGGCGGGUGCUAACGUCCGUCGUGAAGAGGGAAACAACCCAGACCGCCAGCUAAGGUCCCAAAGUCAUGGUUAAGUGGGAAACGAUGUGGGAAGGCCCAGACAGCCAGGAUGUUGGCUUAGAAGCAGCCAUCAUUUAAAGAAAGCGUAAUAGCUCACUGGUCGAGUCGGCCUGCGCGGAAGAUGUAACGGGGCUAAACCAUGCACCGAAGCUGCGGCAGCGACNNNNNNNNNGCUUAUGCGUUGUUGGGUAGGGGAGCGUUCUGUAAGCCUGUGAAGGUGUGCUGUGAGGCAUGCUGGAGGUAUCAGAAGUGCGA